Oncorhynchus keta (chum salmon) is the source of this 156-nucleotide long non-coding RNA. RefSeq lists it as uncharacterized. NCBI's taxonomy places the organism in Eukaryota, Metazoa, Chordata, Actinopteri, Salmoniformes, Salmonidae. The record is from RefSeq and is a predicted model, not a curated record. The transcript is spliced from 3 exons.
GCGAUGGAUAGAGGGUUGGGAGAUAGGUGGAGAGAGAGAGAAAGAGAGAGAAAGGUGGAGAGAGAGAGCGAUGGAUAGAGGGUUGAGAGAUAGGUGGAGAGAGAGAGCGAUGGAUAGAGGGUUGAGAGAUAGGUGGAGAGAGAGAGAGAAAGGUGG